GACGAACGCUGGCGGCGUGCUUAACACAUGCAAGUCGAACGGAAAGGCCCUGCUUUUGUGGGGUGCUCGAGUGGCGAACGUGUGAGUAACACGUGAGUAACCUUCCCUUUACUUUGGGAUAACUUCAGGAAACUGGGGCUAAUACCGGAUAGGAGCUCCUGCUGCAUGGUGGGGUUUGGACAGUUUCGGCGGUUGGGGAUGGACUCGCGGCUUAUCAGCUUGUUGGUGGGGUAGUGGCCUACCAAGGCUUUGACGGGUAGCCGGCCUGAGAGGGUGACCGGCCACAUUGGGACUGAGAUACGGCCCAGACUCCUACGGGAGGCAGCAGUGGGGAAUAUUGCACAAUGGGCGGAAGCCUGAUGCAGCAACGCCGCGUGCGGGAUGACGGCCUUCGGGUUGUAAACCGCUUUCGCCUGUGACGAAGCGUGAGUGACGGUAAUGGGUAAAGAAGCACCGGCUAACUACGUG
This 468-nucleotide ribosomal RNA is filed under the name uncultured bacterium. RNAcentral's name for it is "partial 16S ribosomal RNA". It matches the Rfam family "Bacterial small subunit ribosomal RNA", at positions 28 to 507 of the family's 1533-position model. The record is from RNAcentral.